This 465-nucleotide ribosomal RNA is filed under the name uncultured bacterium. RNAcentral's name for it is "partial 16S ribosomal RNA". It matches the Rfam family "Bacterial small subunit ribosomal RNA", at positions 338 to 795 of the family's 1533-position model. The record is from RNAcentral.
CCUACGGGCGACUGCAGUGGGGAAUAUUGCGCAAUGGGCGAAAGCCUGACGCAGCGACGCCGCGUGAGGGAUGAAGGUCUUCGGAUCGUAAACCUCUGUCAGCAGGGAAGAACGGUCACUGUGCUAAUCAGCAGUGAAUUGACGGUACCUGCAAAGGAAGCACCGGCUAACUCCGUGCCAGCAGCCGCUGUAAUACGGAGGGUGCGAGCGUUAAUCGGAAUUACUGGGGGUAAAGCGAUCGUAGUCGGUAUGUCAAGUCAAGGGUGAAAUCCCCGGGCUCAACGUGUGAACUGCCUUUGAAACUGGCAAACUGGAGUGUGUGAGAGGAUAGUGGAAUUCAAGGGGUAGGAGUGAAAUCCGUAGUUAUCUGGAGGAACAUCAGUGGCGAAGGCGACUAUCUGGCACAUAACUGACGCUGAGGAGCGAAAGCGUGGGUAGCAAACAGGAUUAGAUACCCUUGUAGUC